UACGGGGGGGGCAAGCGUUGUUCGGAAUUACUGGGCGUAAAGGGCUCGUAGGUGGCCAACUAAGUCACACGUGAAAUCCCCAGGCUUAACCUGGGAACUGCGUGUGAUACUGGAUGGCUUGAAUUCGGGAGAGGGAUGCAGAAUUCCAGGUGUAGCGGUGAAAUGCGUAGAUAUCUGGAGGAACACCGGUGGCGAAGGCGGCAUCCUGGACCAAUACUGACGCUGAGGAGCGAAAGCCAGGGGAGCAAACGGG
This 253-nucleotide ribosomal RNA is filed under the name uncultured bacterium. RNAcentral describes it as "partial 16S ribosomal RNA". It matches the Rfam family "Bacterial small subunit ribosomal RNA", at positions 524 to 776 of the family's 1533-position model. The record is from RNAcentral.